This 1345-nucleotide long non-coding RNA is filed under the name Calidris pygmaea (Spoon-billed sandpiper). RNAcentral's name for it is "lncRNA (ENSCPGG00000003646.1)". The record is from RNAcentral. Lineage: Eukaryota; Metazoa; Chordata; Aves; Charadriiformes; Scolopacidae.
CAUCUAUAUUGCUUAAAUUGAUGUCUGUAAUCAUUUGACUUUCAAAUAACGUGACAUGAAAUGCAAAUGGAGAGAGAAGAGAGUUGCCAACUAUUACCAUGUGGCGUAGCAAAUCUAGUAAAUGUAAUCUAUUAUUAAUCACGGUUAUUGAUUAGGAUAAAUCCCCUUCCUCCCUGAAAUUCUUAGAUAAUGCAUAAUUCAGCACUCUUUGUAAACUAACAAAUUAGCUUUUGUGGCACACAAUAGCUGUGUGCAUCAUCUUAAAUAUGAAAUCAUACCAACUGGAUUUAAACCAUUAAUUAAGAUUACAUUUUCAUGACGUUUUAAGCAUAAAACAUAAUAUGUCUCUAUGGCUCUAAUCCACCGAUCUAGGUACCAGACCAGGCAUCACUGUGUGGCUUUUCCGCUAAUAUUCACACAGUGCAGCAGAUUUUAGAAGAAGCUGCGCGUUUAUUGAAACUUCUCUGGAGAGUUUCCCUUCCACUGAAACCCGUGCACGGUACCACUCACGGCACUCAGGAUGAAGGAAUGAAAGCAGAAGUACUUAGAUUGCGUAAGAAACUGUCUGAGCAGGAGAAGAAGUUACACAGCGCCGUGAAACGCUUGCACUGCACCAACCAGCUGAAGGAGAACAUGGAGAAAGUCAUCAUCGACCAGUUGGUUUUGACUCAUGAUGUCUUGAAGAAGGCGAGAGGAAACCUGGAAGUCCCGCCAGCUGAGAAUCAAAAAUCACCUUCCUGUACCAGCAAAAAGAGGAUUAUCUGAAGGAGAAAGUUCCACCAGUAGAGACCGGUCCUGUGAUUGUUGUUUGCUUCUUUAUGCCUUACUAUUUAUUGAUGUAAAAAACGUUUGUUCAGCUCUUUUAAUGGAAUCAGCCUUUGACCAAAAAAAAAAAGAAGACAAAAAAAGAAAGCUUUUGGUAAAUAACUUAUUUAACAUUUUUCUGUAAUGUAAAAGAUUGUUUUUAAUAUUUAUUACUGAAGCAAGGUACUGGAGGGAUUGAAGAAAAACCCAGAUUUUUUUUAAAGUUAGCUCAUUUGAAUUUUUAUAUUUGUAUUUGUCAUGUCAUAAAACUAUUUGUGUGUGUAGUCAAACAGGUCCUGAAAGAAUCCAAAAUGUGAUUCACCUUCCAAACUGUUUCUCUACUGCUAAAAGAAUGUAGGUUAAAAAAAAAAAAAAAAAAGAAUUCUGCCAGUUGUCAUUGUUUUGUAGCAAUGUGGGAGAUGUUUAAUAUUUUAAAGCAUUUUAAACAUAUUGGAAAGAUUCUUCUGGAAUUCAGAAGAAUCAUUGAGCUUUCUUACUGCCCUGUUAGGAACAUAGGUUGAUGCUAGGCCUGAAAAUAUUA